UACGUAGGGUGCAAGCGUUGUCCGGAAUUAUUGGGCGUAAAGAGCUCGUAGGCGGUUUGUCGCGUCUGCUGUGAAAACCCGAGGCUCAACCUCGGGCCUGCAGUGGGUACGGGCAGACUAGAGUGCGGUAGGGGAGAUUGGAAUUCCUGGUGUAGCGGUGAAAUGCGCAGAUAUCAGGAAGGAACACCAAUGGCGAAGGCAGCUCUCGAGGGUACGGUACUGACGCUGAGACGCGAAAAGCGUGGGGGAGCGAACAGG
This 258-nucleotide ribosomal RNA is filed under the name uncultured bacterium. Its description in RNAcentral is "partial 16S ribosomal RNA". It matches the Rfam family "Bacterial small subunit ribosomal RNA", at positions 524 to 776 of the family's 1533-position model. The record is from RNAcentral.